CUUCGGCCGAGUAAUCGCCUGUGCGGCCGCGUUUUAGAACCAUGGAAUUAGUAGGUUAUGUGAUGUUGACAAAAAAAAAAGGUUAUGUGAUUUAAAUCUUUUAAUAAUAAACCUGUAAGUGUGUGUGUGGUGGUGAAAAACAGAAAAGCAUAUGGUGUAGUUUUACGUCAUUCUUUGUUUACGUGGACAAAUAGGUUUGUAAAUAAAAUGGUCGGAAAUGGAAUUUUUAUUUCUUAGCAUUUUGGGUAAAUGAUAAGAAGUGAUGUUAAUGUCUAAUAUCUACCCUUUUUCUUUGUUUCAUGAAAUUAAUCCACGUGUGUGUUUUACAAUCUAUAAUAGGAUAUAGAUUGAAAUGGAGUCCGAUGAGUUGAUGGCGU
Molecule: long non-coding RNA, 377 nt
Filed under: Brassica napus (rape)
Lineage: Eukaryota; Viridiplantae; Streptophyta; Magnoliopsida; Brassicales; Brassicaceae
Description: long non-coding RNA (BNAP_LNC016594)
Source: RNAcentral